This 479-nucleotide ribosomal RNA is filed under the name uncultured bacterium. Its description in RNAcentral is "partial 16S ribosomal RNA". It matches the Rfam family "Bacterial small subunit ribosomal RNA", at positions 28 to 507 of the family's 1533-position model. The record is from RNAcentral.
GAUGAACGCUAGCGGGAGGCCUAACACAUGCAAGCCGAGCGGUAGAGUCUCUUCGUAGACUUUAGAGCGGCGCCCGGGUACGGAACACUUGUGCAACCUGCCUUUAUCUGUGGGAUAGCCUUUCGAAGGGAAGAUUAAUACCCCAUAAUAUACUUGAUGUCAUCAUCUGGUAUUGAAAACUCCGGUGGAUAUAGAUGGGCACGCGCAAGAUUAGAUAGUUGGUGAGGUAACGGCUCACCAAGUCAGCGAUCUUUAGGGGGGCUGAGAGGGUGAUCCCCCACACUGGUACUGAGACACGGACCAGACUCCUACGCGAGGCAGCAGUGAGGAAUAUUAGACAAUGGGUGAGAGCCUGAUCCAGCCAUCCCGCGUGAAGGACGACGGCCCUAUGGGUUGUAAACUUCUUUUGUAUAGGGAUAAACCUAGAUACGUGUAUCUAGCUGAAGGUACUAUACGAAUAAGCACCGGCUAACUACGUG